This is a non-coding RNA of Podarcis muralis (Common wall lizard), 517 nucleotides long. NCBI's taxonomy places the organism in Eukaryota, Metazoa, Chordata, Lepidosauria, Squamata, Lacertidae. The record is from RefSeq and is a predicted model, not a curated record.
UCUGGGUAUUGCUGCUGGAGCAGGAGGAAUACUGUCUGUAUCUCAGCCUCUGGUCCUGGAAACAUGGCAGAGGGAGGAAGAAUUGGGCACGAUGCGAACUGCAGCCAAUUCCUUCAUCAACCGAGCCAACGUAAUGAAUGGUUAAUUUGAAAAUACUUGGCAAUGGGGAUGAGAGUUUUAUUUCAAGAGACCCCCCGAACAGGAAAAAUCUGGAUUUUAGAUUUGAAGGGUGAGAUGAAAAGGAAUUGGAAGAGGAGAGAAAAUAAAGAGAAAGGCAAGCCAGAAGUGUACUCUGUCCUAAAAACAAUCAGACUCCUACUGCAGAAUCACCCACAUUUUGCGUCAAGCAGGCUGAAUUCUGCAGCUUCUAUAAAUGUUGGAAAAUUGCACAAUUGAGGAAUUUGUUUCUGAUCUCCCAAAUGCAAGGAUGAGCUAUGAGGUUGUUGUAAAUCAAAUUAUCUACGGCCUCUAAGCUAGCCUUUCUCAAACUUGGGUUCCCUCGUGGUGUUGGACUACA